Parus major (Great Tit) is the source of this 1433-nucleotide long non-coding RNA. RefSeq lists it as uncharacterized. The record is from RefSeq and is a predicted model, not a curated record. NCBI's taxonomy places the organism in Eukaryota, Metazoa, Chordata, Aves, Passeriformes, Paridae. The transcript has 2 exons.
CAGUGUGCAGCUUGGAAUCUCUAAACAUCUGAGAUCUGUUAGUACUUUAUUUGUAAUGACACUGCCAACAGGCUGCCCCCCUCCAAAAGGUCACAGCACACACUCAGCAUUAAAUUGCAGUACAACAAAUCCUCAGCUAUCCAUAACCUGCAAAAUGAUAGGGGCAGGCUGGAAGGGGAGACUGGGAUAAAACAGAAAAAGAAAAGAGUCUAGACACACUUUCCCAAAACUCACUGGGGAAUCAUUUUAAAAUCACUUUAUGAGGAAAUAAUUGAGGUUCUAUAUACAAAACUCCCUUUAAAAAAAAAAAAAGUAACACAUUUGACAACCUUAGAAAGUCACAAGGUUGUUACAGAGAAGAAUGGGCCUCUGUUUGGGAAUUUAAAUACUAUGUAGCCCAAAUCCAUAAACAUUUAAGAUUUUUAAAGCUGUUGGGAAUAAAAGAGCAAAGAAGAGCAAAACCAGCCAGGGCCAACUAAGAAAAAAACACAAAACAAACCAACAAAACUGAGCUGCUAAGUGAAUGAAAAUCAUCUGUGCAGUAAAACCCCCUUUCCUCACUCUGUAAUGCUCCAGCUCUGAGCUCUGCCCUUCAAUCCAGCACAGAAUAAACCCACUGUUGUGCACAGCACAGACCCACCAGUGCCUGCAUCCCACUCCACAGCAAGUGGAAUUCAUUCAGAGCCACCAGAUGCAGCAUCAGCCCCCAAAAUACAGAAACUCUUUAUCAGCAGGGAAGAGCAGGCUGUCACUGUGCCCUGCCCAGGAGGACCUGAGCACCCCCAGUCACCACUGCACCUCCACACGGAGCCAGCAGCUCUGAAACUCUUGAAACUCCACCUGUUUCGAGGGGAACACAACACAGCUGAAAGAAAAUCACUGCAGAGAACAGUUUAUGUCAUUCUUUUUAUGCCUCUCUUCUGUUGUUCUUAAUGCCAGAGCUGCUUCUCCGUGUCCCUUGUGGAGAGGUCCAAGCAGAAGAACCACGCAGGCAUCUUAUCAUAUACUCCCUGAAAAGAAAGCUGAUGGCAGAUCCCACUCAGAAGAGUGAAGAAUACCUGAAGAGUCACAGCAGAGCCAGUGUAAGUGCAUUACUGUUCAACUGCUCAUCAAUUCAUAACUGUAAUUUCUGUGACAUCUUCCAUGAUUCACUUCAGGCUCAGUUCUGGGACAGAAAAAGGGAGAAACAUUGUUUACCCCAGAGUCAGUCAGCUGAAAAAAAUGAUGAAAUUCUGAUGGAAACUCAUCCCAUGCACUCUGAAACCGUGUCACUCCUGCAUUUGUUGGUGAUGUAGAGCGACCACUGCUCUUCUUUGCAUUGAAGAACAAGACUAAAAACCCUAUUAUUUCACCUCCUGGCAUUCCUAAACCCUUUAAUGGUUCCAACCCUUAAAUGCUUCUAUUUUUAAAUAAAAGUUCUUUUAAAAAUUAAA